This 470-nucleotide ribosomal RNA is filed under the name uncultured bacterium. RNAcentral describes it as "partial 16S ribosomal RNA". It matches the Rfam family "Bacterial small subunit ribosomal RNA", at positions 355 to 818 of the family's 1533-position model. The record is from RNAcentral.
UGGGGAAUUUUGGACAAUGGGGGCACGCUGAUCAGCAAUGCCGCGUGUGUGAAGAAGGCCUUCGGGUUGUAAAGCACUUUUGUCCGGAAAGAAAACGCCGUGGUUAAUACCCGUGGCGGAUGACGGUACCGGAAGAAUAAGCACCGGCUAACUACGUGCCAGCAGCCGCGGUAAUACGUAGGGUGCAAGCGUUAAUCGGAAUUACUGGGCGUAAAGCGUGCGCAGGCGGUCCGCUAAGACAGAUGUGAAAUCCCCGGGCUUAACCUGGGAACUGCAUUUGUGACUGGCGGGCUAGAGUAUGGCAGAGGGGGGUAGAAUUCCACGUGUAGCAGUGAAAUGCGUAGAGAUGUGGAGGAAUACCGAUGGCGAAGGCAGCCCCCUGGGCCAAUACUGACGCUCAUGCACGAAAGCGUGGGGGAGCAAACAGGAUUAGAUACCCUGGUAGUCCACGCCCUAAACGAUGUCAACUA